Molecule: non-coding RNA, 2331 nt
Organism: Lynx canadensis (Canada lynx)
Lineage: Eukaryota; Metazoa; Chordata; Mammalia; Carnivora; Felidae
Source: the annotation of a RefSeq genome assembly
AUGGCGGGAGAGAUCUCCGUGAGGGAGACCCAGAGUCUCAGGCUCAUCCAGUCUGCUGAAGGACGGCAGCCGAGCUCGAGAGGCUCCCAAUCACGUCGGGAGCCAGCAACCAAGCUUGGGCCUCAGGGCUCUCCAGCAGGGCUCUCCACCUACAAGUCCCUGUCCCGAGGGUUUGUCCCACCUGCUGAGGCAUCUGGGGCGUGUGGAUGGGAGGAGAAGUUUCUGGCCACCGCAGACGAGGGGCAGGCCGUGGCAGAGGCGGGGGUGGGACCCGUGGCAGAGGCUCGCCUGGACGCCGCACAGACAGCCAGGGCGGCCACGGGCCACGGGGCGGUGGCAGCGAGGGCCCAGGUGGAGGCCGGACCUUUCCUGGUCCCACCGUCGUCCUCGCGCACAACGCCGUGUCUGAUCCGUAGUCCUCCCCCCAGUCCCACCGUCGUCCUCGCGCAUAACGCCUGUCUGAUCACCGAUCCUCCCCCCAGUCCCACCAUCGUCCUCGCGCGCAGCGCCGUGUCUGAUCCCCAGGUCCCUGGGGAGAGGACAAGGGGACUGGAGACAGCCCACCUGGAGUGCCUCAUCCUGGGACCUGCCGCCCCCUCCGGAGAAGCGCUGCACGUGUUCCCCUUGGUCUCGGGGUGUCAAGCCCCGAAAGAAGGCGACCCCGUAGUCCUGGCCUGCUUGACAAGAGGAUACUCCCAAGAGUCCGUGCAGGUGACCUCGGUUUCGGGGAAGCAGGACCAGGCCAAAAAGACCAAUCUCUUCCUGCCGAAGGCACAAGACAACAUUGAGCUGUCCUUCCUGACUGCCCGGUGGAAGCCAGACCCCCACCAGUGCAGCACCGCCAGCGGCAAGCUGCAGAAGGCCUUGCGGUGGCCAGGGCCUGACCCCAAGGACCGACACAGGCACCCAGGCCUCAGCGCGGUGCCCAUGAGGCAUCUUGGGAAACUAAGGCCCCCCUGUCGACUCUUGGGCCAACCCCAUCAGAGGUCUCCACCACAGUGCCCAGCACUGCCAGGGUCUCAGUGCCUUCCACCAGCCACACCCAGGCGCAAACCAGAGAGCCGGAAAGGACAGCGGACGCCAGUCUCAGAGCACCACCCCCAGGCCGGGUCUGCGCGCCCCAGUGCCCCCAGUGACCGAGGCCACUGUCCUCUGGCAGAGUGUCGGAACCACACCAGCCCUCCCAGCCUCUACCUGCCACAGCCUCCCCUGCAGGGCCCAUGGCUCGAGGGACAGGCCACCUUCACCUGCCUGGCAGUGGGGGCUGGCCUUCAGGAGGCCCGCUUGUCCUGGGAGGUGGCCGGGGCGCCCCUGCACGCGGGUGUGGACAGUGGGCCGCUGGAGGAGAGUGCCAAUGGUUCCCAGAGCCUGAGAAGCCGCCUGGACUUGCCCGUGGCCUCCUGGGCCUCGGGGGCCAACAUCACCUGCACGCUGAGCGGCCUGGGCGUGGCUUCCCAAGUGGUGUCCGCAGCUCCCAAGGAACACGCUGCCUCUGCGCCCGGCAGCCUCACGGUCCACAUCCUGACUGUGUCCAGAGCAGCCUCCUGGCUCCUGUGCAAGGUGUCCGGCUUCUCGCCCCCAGACAUCCUCCUCACCUGGCUAAGGGACCAGGUCCAGGUAGACUCUGCUUCCUUUGCCACUGCACCCCCCGCAGCCGAGCUGGGGAGCAGCACCUUCGAGACCUGGAGCGUCCUGCACAUCCGCACGGCCCAGGCCCCUCGCCUGGACACCUACACGUGUGUGGUCCGGCACGAGGCUUCCCGAAGGUUGCUCAACGCCAGCUGGAGCCCAGACACGGCCAGUCUGGACAUGGCCCCCCCAGCCCCCCAGAGCCAUGACGAGAGCGGCGGCGGCUCCACGGACCUGGAAGACACCGGCAGACUGUGGCCCACGUUCGCCGCCCUCUUCCUUCUCACUCUGCUCUACAGCGGCUUCGUCACCUUCAUCAAACACUCCGGCCAGGAAGCGGGCACGUUGCACCUGCUCACAAGGACACGGGGGUCUGGGCCCUGUCGUCUGGGGACCUGGCUCCUCACAUCCCCCCUCUGCACCCUCCGGCCACCGGCCCCCUUCCUGACCCCUGGGCUCUUGUUGCAGGUGAAGUAGCCCCAGGAGAGCGGAUGUCCUGCACCCGCAGAGAAGGGAGGCUGGGACUCUGGCCUGUGCGGGGCGCCCCGGCCCCACUUCUGCCUGCCCCAUGCUCGUCUCUGUCCACCCGUGCCCAGGGCUCGGCCGCCAAACCCAGCCCACGCUUCCUGAACCCGCGGCCCUGACUGUGGGCCCUUGCCUUCCCACCUGCCAGCCGGCCCCAUAAACAACUUUGCUCACAUA